This 76-nucleotide small RNA is filed under the name Xanthomonas dyei. Its description in RNAcentral is "sX9 sRNA". It matches the Rfam family "Xanthomonas sRNA sX9". RNAcentral also lists the same sequence under 2 other names. The record is from RNAcentral. Lineage: Bacteria; Pseudomonadati; Pseudomonadota; Gammaproteobacteria; Lysobacterales; Lysobacteraceae.
AUGGACCACGCGUCCACUCCGAUUCUGAGCGCGCUGCCCGCACCCACCUGACGAUUGCUAGCUAGAUUUGUUAGCC